UAGCCGUGGGCACGAAUGGACACUGAGAACAUGAAAGAUCAGUACCAGAAAUCUAUAAGUCCGGAAAUUUAUGUCACUAAUCUACCAGGGAAUGCAGUGGUGUCUUUUGAAAGAAGAGGAUGUCAUUCCUCGUAUCAGGGCAAUGGAAGGUCGUAGAGGAAGACCACCAAAUCCAGAUAGACAACGAGCAAGAGAGGAAUCCAGGAUGAGACGUCGGAAAGGUCGACCUCCAAAUGUUGGCAAUGCUGAAUUCCUAGAUAACGCAGAUGCAAAGUUGCUAAGAAAACUGCAAGCUCAAGAAAUAGCCAGGCAAGCAGCACAAAUAAAGCUUUUGAGAAAACUUCAAAAGCAGGAACAAGCUCGGGUUGCUAAAGAAGCCAAAAAACAACAAGCAAUAAUGGCUGCUGAGGAGAAGCGGAAGCAAAAAGAACAGAUAAAGAUUAUGAAACAGCAGGAAAAAAUUAAGAGAAUACAGCAAAUCAGAAUGGAAAAAGAACUUCGAGCUCAGCAAAUUCUAGAG
RNAcentral lists this small RNA (520 nucleotides) under Pan troglodytes (chimpanzee). RNAcentral describes it as "processed transcript". Lineage: Eukaryota; Metazoa; Chordata; Mammalia; Primates; Hominidae. The record is from RNAcentral.